AGAUAUUGACCAAUUCAGUUGCAGUAGUUGCAGUACUGCUGAAAAUAGUAAAAUUCAAGUUUACAAAAAUAUCACUCACAUGAAAUAUGUUCAAAAAUGUGUUAAGAGUUCUAGUUUGUGAAUAUAUGUGUACAAUUAAGAAUGUACUAACCAAUCAUUUAUGGUGCCCCUUUAAACAAAGUAGUAAUUAUGUGUUUAUGCCUUUUUCUUUAUUUGUUUAUAGCUCCCACCGGUAGUUAC
Molecule: non-coding RNA, 240 nt
Organism: Pelobates cultripes (western spadefoot toad)
Lineage: Eukaryota; Metazoa; Chordata; Amphibia; Anura; Pelobatidae
Source: the annotation of a GenBank genome assembly